UGACAUUGCGAUAGAGGAAGCUGUGGACGGGUUGCUGGUUUCCAGAAAAACAAGAGGACCUGUGGUGUCUGCAUCGAACAUAUUCCUCAGAGAACCAGAAAUCUCCAGUGGAGAAAGAGGUGGGUUCUUGUUAAGCGCUGGAAAUAGGCUGAAAUGUAAAUGUGUAUUCCUUUCUGCAACGUGCCUAAUUGCCCAUAAAUGUCAUUAAGUCGAGAAAUGUUUUCCACCAAAUUAACUUUGACUCGUGAUGUCUAAUUAGCUGGAGAUGCUGAAAGAUAACAACUGAUCAGUCACUGUUUAAGAAAACAUACUUAAUGGUUGACUUUUUUGUUAGCAGCCAUGUUGAACCAGGUAUUGUAGCUGUCAAAACGGAGCAUUAUCAGAGCAAUUAAGGACAAUACCUCGGUGCAGCUUCCAACCAAGAUAAUUUGACAGCUCUUUCACAGGCAAGAAGUGCAGUUGAACCUAAACUUUCUGUGAAUUGGUUUUCCCCUUGCAUGGAAGAAGCUUUU
Molecule: long non-coding RNA, 512 nt
Filed under: Anas platyrhynchos platyrhynchos (common mallard)
Lineage: Eukaryota; Metazoa; Chordata; Aves; Anseriformes; Anatidae
Description: lncRNA (ENSAPLG00000023691.1)
Source: RNAcentral